AACGCACCUUGCGCUCCUUGGUAUUCCGAGGAGCAUGCCUGUUUGAGUGUCAUGAAAUUCUCAACCUUUCUGUCUUUGACAAGCAGUCUGGCUUGGAUCGUGGGGGUUUGCAGGCUUACCUGAGCCAGCUCUCCUUAAAUGCAUUAGCAAAAUCAUCGCUGUAUCAUCUUUGAUAUGAUAAUUAUCUAUAUCAUUGAAGGGUCAGCUUUAAGAUUUGGCUUCUAACUGUUGUUUCUUUUCACAAGGAACUGCUCUGAACAUUUUGACCUCAAAUCAGGUAGGACUACCCGCUGAACUUAA
Molecule: unclassified non-coding RNA, 300 nt
Filed under: uncultured fungus
Lineage: Eukaryota; Fungi
Description: sequence contains ITS2
Rfam family: 5.8S ribosomal RNA (bases 1-52)
Source: RNAcentral